Oryzias latipes (Japanese medaka) is the source of this 472-nucleotide long non-coding RNA. RefSeq lists it as uncharacterized. The record is from RefSeq and is a predicted model, not a curated record. Lineage: Eukaryota; Metazoa; Chordata; Actinopteri; Beloniformes; Adrianichthyidae.
AGGUUCAGAGCUCUUUCUGGUGGGUCUAGAUGACCCACUCCCAAUGUUAAAGUGCCUAGGAUAGCACAAGGGUUAAAAGCGCGCAGACUGCAUGAUUCCUAGCUGAUCAAAUAUUCUGAACAGCUCCAAACCGAAUUCACGGAAAGACCCGUCGGCUGUAACCCUCGAUGGACAUCUGAGCACAUCGACGCCUAAAGCGCUUCACAGUCGCAGUCCCCUUCAUCCAUUCACACACUCUCCGCUGGCUUCAGUGUCUUGCCCUAGGACACUUCUACACAUGGGCGGCAAAGCGGCAUUCGAACCUGCAAGCCUUCCGAUCAGAGGGGGAUCCCGCUGCACCACAGCUGUGAAAGUCCAAAAUUCUAUAUGUAGAGCAUGCGUAGAAUGUACGCAGUGGCUGUGUGACCCGGCCUUUAGCUGCACAUUUUGAUUUUGUUCUUAACUGGUUUAUGCAAAUAAAGAUAAAAACAAA